UCCUCCUCCUCCUCCUCCUCCUCCUCCAGACAAGCCCUUAUAAUGCCCAGAAGAUAAAAGCUCUUAGGAGCUGCUGUGUUGCGUUUUGAUAUUUGAACGAAAAUGAUGCUUUGGAGGCUUAAAAAAUGGACUUUCCUUCUGAAGUACCCAGGAGAGUAGGUACAGAAGCUAUCAAGAUACAUAAUUCCAGUUUUAAGGAGCUGUCAUGUUCAUAGCAGCACUACUAACAGUGGACAAAAAGGUGAAUAUGACCCAAAUUCCAUCAGCAGAUGAAUGAAUAAACAAAAGUCUGGCAUAUCCAUACAAUGGGACUUUAUUCAGCCAUAGAAAGGAAUAAGGUGGAUACAUAUGCUACAGCAUGGAUGAACCUCGAAAAUGUUAAGUGAAGGAAGCCAGACACAAAAGGAUGGACUUCUUAUCUCCCUACACUACCCCUUGGAGAAAACCUUUUAUCAAGGAGAUACUGAAUAUCAUCACUGAUGUAAGCAGGGUCUCUUAAGAUCCCAGUGACUGCUGGUCUGGUCUGAAGGGUCCAAGAUGGCUUUGUUCACAUGUCUGUUGCCCUAACAGAGAUGACUAGAAGGCCGAGCUCAGCUGGAACUGUUUACUGAAAUGCCUAUAUCUGGCACUUCUAGCAUAGCAGGAAGAUUUCUUCUUUGGCUCCCAGAGAGUGUUCUAAGACAGCAAAGAGGAAGCUGCAAGACUUCUUCUGUUUUAGUAUUGGAAGUUAUGCAGUGUCACUUCCACUACAUUCUGUAGAAAAGAGAGCCACAAUGCCAACUGAAAUCGAAGAGGAUGGAAUUACACAAGGACAUUUUUACUUGGAAGCAUGUUCAUUAGGGAGCAACUUCUGGAGAUUGCUUUAUACACAUUUGGCUUUUGUCAAACAAAUUCUCACUGUACUUGCUCAUGCCACACAUAUUCCUGCAUCUAGAGCUUUAACUGUGUUGAUCUUCCCAAAACGUUCCUUCCUCCUUUUACUUUCCCAGACCCUACCUGUCCUUCCAGGCUUGUUCAGUUUCAACUUGAGCAUUUACAGUCUUUCUUUGAAUACUCUAGUUCUUAAAACAUCUUCCCCAUUUUUGAAAUACAAUAGCAUUUAUAGUCUGAUGGUAGGAACAGAAAGAAGACUGAGUUGAAGAUAUUUUGGUAAAAUUAACAGGACAAAACGCCUAUUUGGGUAUUGUAGGCUAGCAAUAGGAACCAGUUGGAGAUGAUAUUGUAGCUUUGAGCCUUGAUAGCUGAGAGGAUUGAGUACCAUUCACAGAAUCAUGAAACACCAGAUGGGCAGUGGGUGUGGGGGAAAAUGUUAAUUCCCUUUUGAAAUAUGUUACUUUGAAGGCAUAGUGGAAGAGCCAGGUAAAGGAGUUGUGCAAACAAUAAAGAAAGAGAAAUGGAGGAUUAGAAAGAGAUGAGGAUUAGAGAAGUAGAUCUGGAAGCCUCCAGGCAAGGAGAUGCUAGUUGAGUCUGUGGGAUUGAAUAAGCCUGCCGAGGAGAAUUUGUGGAGAUGGAACAGAAAGUAUCCAAUGACAGACUUGCAGCAGAGAGAAUAUGAUAAUUCAGAGAAGAAAAAAAGAGAGAUAAGAAGAGACCUGGGGGAGUGCCAGGGAGAGCAGAUCUUCAUAAGCCUAAAAAGAAGGGAGCUUCUAGAAGGUGAAAAUGGUCAAGUGUUAAUGCUGAAAAUGUGUUUUAGAAGCAGAGGACUAAAGAAGAUCGUGAUUAUGAGGUCAUUGACUAUGAAUCUGGAAAUUGUUAGGAGGAAACCUGAUUGUAUCCAGUAUAAGUGGCCAUGGGGUUAGGAAGCAGAAAAAGUGAGGCCAGACUGGCCACUUUUUCAAGAAGUUUAGCAGUACAGGAAAAUAGGAUGUCUUCUCUAAUAGAAUUACAAACAGAACUUUUAAUGAUGACUGUUCUUAUUGGAUGGUAGUCAUUAAGGAAAGUAAUGUGCCUUUGCAUGUGUCUCUGUGUUUGCAUGUGUGUGUGUGUUUUCCAUGUGUGUGUAAGUGUAUACUGUGCAGCAAUGUUUUCUAAGCCCAGAUCUGUAUUUAAACCACUGGAGGAGCCAAUUACACUUUCUAAGGCCCAAAACCAGACUUACUGAGUACGACUUUUUUAUUAUUUAUUUAUUUUUGAGACAGGGUCUCACUCUGUCACCUAGACUGGCAUGCAGUGGUACAAUCUUGGCUCACUGCAACUUCUACUUCCUGGGUUCAAGUGAUUCUCUUGCCUCAGCCACCUGAGUAUCUGGAAUUACAGGUGUGUGCUACCAUGCCGGGCUAAUUUUUUUAAUCUUUAGUAGAGAUGGGGUUUUGCCAUGUUGGCCAGGCUAGUACUGAACUGCUGGCCGCAAGAGAUCCACCUGCCUUUGCCUCCCAAAGUGCUCGGAUUAGACAUGAGCCACCUUGCUGGUCCUGAAUGCGAAUUUUUGAGGCUGGGCCUCAAGUAUCUGUAGGUUAAAAACUGCUCACAAGCUGACUUAAGGGUUUUGGUAUAUCCAAGGACCUUGAGUUUCAGAAAAUAGUUGAUAUUUUUAUGGGGGUAGGGCUAAUAUUCAGUUAGGUUGUCAGAAUAAAAAAUUGCAAAAUGAAAACUACAAUAAGAAUUCAAGAUGUGGCUAGGUGCGGUUGCACACAUAUGUAAUCCCAACACUUUGGGAGACUGAGGCUGGAGGAUUGCUUGAGUCUUGGAGUUCAAGACCAAUCUGGGCAACAUAGUGAGACCCCUGUCUCUACAAAAAGUAAAAAAAUUAGCUGGGUGUGGUGGCACAUACCUAUAGACCCAGCUUCUCAGGGGGCUAAAGUGCAAGGAUCACCUGAGCCCAGGGAGGUCAAGGCUGCAGUGAGCCAUGAUCAUGCCACUGCAUUCUUUUUAUACCAGGACCCUCUAUCGGAAAAUAAAAUAAAAUAAACAUUAAAAAUUCAAGAUGUAAAGAAGUAAAAAUGGAAGACAAAUAUUUCUAAUUGAAGACCAACAGUUUAGUAGCUACAAAAGUCAAAAUUUUAUAUAGAUUUUCUUUUUUCUCUUUUGCCUCAGCAAGCAAUGUGGACAAUUUUAUGAAAAUCCAUCAUCAGAAUUCCAAGGCAUUUUCCUUUCCUUUCCUUUUUUUUUUUGCUGGGCUGGGGGAGAAGGAUAAAAAGAAUGUGGUUUGUGAGGCAAGUUAAACCUCAAGAGUUUUUUCAAACUAAACACUCCCUAGCCAUUUGAUGUCUGGAAGUCUGGAUAUUGGGGGCAGGGAAGUUAGCAGAGCUGUGGCUGUAGGACCAUUUGUCAUUUCCUGGGAGGUGCCUGUGCUUAACCCUUAAGGGAAGCACAUUUGAACACACUGGGCUUUGACCAAGAGGAGGUCCAACCCUCCACUUUUUCUUUUUCAGAUUGGUGUUUUCUUUCCCUACUUCUCAGUAGGAAAGACUGGCUUUCCUUGAGGGAGAAGCAAAUAGCAGCGCCAUUUGGAUGUCAACGAUAUCAGUGCUGUUUAACACCUCUGUGUUUUCACACUUUCUUGUGAUAAUCCAAAAUACAGAAACAGUGUCACAUAUUAUUAAUCAUUUUUAGAUAGGAAUGCAUUCAUACUGUUAUGUUGUGUGUAUUUUCACAAGAAAAUCUUUGUCAAAACUGA
Molecule: long non-coding RNA, 3616 nt
Organism: Callithrix jacchus (white-tufted-ear marmoset)
Lineage: Eukaryota; Metazoa; Chordata; Mammalia; Primates; Cebidae
Source: RefSeq, a predicted model, not a curated record